Long non-coding RNA from Tupaia belangeri chinensis (Chinese tree shrew), 1106 nucleotides. RefSeq lists it as uncharacterized. The transcript is spliced from 4 exons. The record is from RefSeq and is a predicted model, not a curated record. NCBI's taxonomy places the organism in Eukaryota, Metazoa, Chordata, Mammalia, Scandentia, Tupaiidae.
GCGCUCCGGGGCGCCCCACCCCGCCCCGCGCCCCGGCUGCGCUGGCCUCCUUGUCAAUGGGAGCGCGGGCUGGGCGGACCGUGCAGCUCUCAGAGGUUGCUAGGACACUUACGCAGAUCUAUCAGAUGUAAGGAGAAAAAAUCCAGCAACCUUGCCUGUGUUCUACUAUCCCUGCAGGACUGCAUUUGAAAGACAGAAGAGUGGUUAAAACAUGACAUCAUUUAAACCAGAGAAAUCUGAAAUGGACACAGCUGCCAACAAAGACUACCAAGUGUUUCUGGCUCAUGUGCAGUCUCCAGUUUCCAUAGAAACCAAGCAAAGAAAAUUUGCUAAAGGAAGACUAAAAAAUAAGUAGAUUCAGCCUCCCAGAUAUGCAGUGGAUGGAAGGACAAACAACAUCUCAAGCAACAUUUUAUUUCAAUUCCUUAUCCUCUGACCUGAUUAAAACCUGUUUGUGUGACCUGGAAUACCUACAAAGAGAAUGGAUUAGACAUUUUUGGAGGGUGGGGUGUUUGCCCAACCUGUAGCCUCUUUCUUGGGCAUUUUCUUCUAUCUCCAUAACUCAAAGAGUGAGCCCUGAGCAGCCUUGUGUCUCCUUACAUCUCUGACCACAGUUGAUUGGAUGAAACUGGGCCAACCAAAUACUCUCUCCUUCAGAUGUUGGUUGGGGAUUGAGAAACAUGUCAUACCCGGCUAGCCCCUUGAAGUGGCAUAUGGAAGUGAAAAUAUAGAUGUAUUUAUUCAAAAUUCUCAGACAGGCAAAGAAAACAAGUAUGUAGAGAGCAAAUAAAGCAAUCAUACAGAUAGAUAUCUUGACUACUAGGUCCUGGGGAAAACCAGAGAAUAACUCAAGCCCCUUGAUGGCCUUCUAUUCCAUGGCUACUGUCCUUCACGAGCUUACUUGGUGUUUGGUAUGCCCUUGAGUUUGGCAAGAUAGAUGCCCUGUGAACGUCUCAUAAAUUGUCAUAAUUUUCCUAAUCUGGGUUUAGUGGAUUCUUUCCCAGUGCCAACCAAGAACCUUGACUAAGAAAGAGAACUUGGAGGACUGGAACUAGUGAAGAUUUGAAGAAGAGAAGAUUAACUGGUGACCCAGGGGCUUCAUAUUU